CCUCGCGGAUCCUAUCUGUGCACUCCUCCUGGGACAUGCCGGCGGUGGGGUUGUUGGUCUCGUCGCUGGUGCUCGCGGAGACGAUGGGCACGGCCGCGGCCUCGCCCUCCAUCACUGCGUCAGGCUCUCUCCGGCGGCCGCGAGAGGAAAGAGAAAAGAAAGUGUUUUUUUUUUUUGCUGUUUUGUUUCUUCAAGAUUUUUCAGGGUUUUUCUGUGGAGGGCGAGUUUAGCUCGCGCCGCGCAGGUUGCAGCAAGCCUGGGACACGUGUGACCGAAAAAUAAUUAAAAACUAGGAAGGAACCGCGCUGCGGUUUUUUUAAUACAUACUUCUCAUAUAUAUAAGCGGUAUUAUCAACUUUCGGCCCCUACUUAUAUGGUAUUUUG
RNAcentral lists this long non-coding RNA (384 nucleotides) under Phoenix dactylifera (date palm). RNAcentral's name for it is "long non-coding RNA (PDAC_LNC014733)". The record is from RNAcentral. Lineage: Eukaryota; Viridiplantae; Streptophyta; Magnoliopsida; Arecales; Arecaceae.